UGAUGGAAGAUAAAUGAAAGGUAAUUGGUGCUUUAUGAUGUCAAGGUUCCCUCUGACCUCCUACAUAUACUCAAGCACCAGAGGCUCAACUCUCCAGAUAUCAGAUAAUAUGCAUCUAGUUUUCUCUGCAUCCCAGAACACAGUAUUCUCAGGAAAAAAAUGCUAUUCUUCUGAUGGCUCCUGGCUCCAAGGAGCCAGGAUUUUACUUUUUUAUUUACUUUACUAAGAACUCAAUUAGUCUCCCAGCCUCCCUCCACUGGGGAAGCUCACAGAUACCAUCUACAACCUUAAAUUAGAAUUGUACUGUGAGAUUCCUGAUCUUUGGGGCAUUGGAAAUACCUCAAAGUUUCCUUUUCUUCAAAUAAUUCUUACUGACUUGGUCCAGUUCCCUGGAAAUAGUCACUGGUACCAGGCCAAGUCAGUGCUGUUGCCGUGUCCCCCUCACCGGAUUUCACCGUUGUGGGAAAAAGACCAUCUGUCCCAGGUUGAGCAAAUGUCCUAUCUUGAACACCAGGUCAGAAUCACCCCCAUAUCCCCACCACAUUCUUAUUAUUAUCAGAAUGAACUUGGAUCCUCGCCAUGGCUCAAACAUCUAGCCACAACUACACAACUGUCUCAAUCUUUUCCCAGGGCAAAGGCUGUGCCUUUACCUCAUCUUCAUCACCACGAUAUGGCUAAAGUCUCCCCAAGUAGCAAAUACCAGAAAGUCACCUCAGUCUUGGCCUUACAUAAUAGGCAUGACAUUGAGGCCAAAGUUGCCUUGAAAUCCUUCCAACAGGAAGCAACUCCUUCAAGCUCUGACCACCUUCCCAAGAUUUUCCCAAGCUGUGAGAAUUCAACUGAUAAUCUACUGUCUGUCAACCAAUCACUCUCAUCUCCAUCAUUCUCCGACAAUAAAGCUGAGUUUUCCCCAUUCCUCAGCCAUGGGUCCACGACAGAAAAAGGAAUAUAUUCUGACUUCCAGGGCAAGGACAAGCUAUCUGUUAUCUCAAUGAGCUCUGGUAACCAAACUAAAGUUGCAAGGAGGCUCCAAAGCCAAGUCAGGGCUACAACUGCUACUACAUUAGGAAAUUUAGAUUUGAGACAUACAGCCUCUAUUACCUCAUCAUCACUUUGUUUUAACCACUGGUCCAGGCCAACAGCAUCAAAAACAUCAGAAGUAGACCACUGGGUCCAGGCAAAAGCUUCCAAAAUGUCAUAUCCUGACCUCCACCUCAGGGACACAGUGUCACUAUUAAGAUGUAUUGACCAUCACUCCAGGCCCUUGACUGACUAUUCAUUACACCUGAACCAGAAAACUAGAGCAACCACUACAAACUCAUCCUGCCCCAAACGUAUUAAAGCCAAAGCUUUGCCAUCACCAGCUCCAAACCAUCGGGCCAGGACAAGAGCUACCUCAUCACAAGGUGUUAAAUCAUGGGACAAGGGAUCAGCUAAUCACUGGGUCACAGCUACCUCUGUGCCCUUCCCAUUACACCACCAAAUGUAUGACGUUCCAAUCAAACAGGCAUCAUCCCAAUGCACUCUUCAUCAUCAGGCCACUUGUCCACCCACUCCUGAAUACUACCAGGCCAAGUACGUGACAGACUCCAAUACCCACAUCUUGCUUCAGAAAGAAAAAAACCGUACAGAAGUCAUGCCACAAGAUCUGGACUACCAGUUCACAAUGCUAACAGGCCAGGUAUACUGGUCAACAUCCUCAGUGAACAUGGAAUACAAUGGUACUGCUUCAUUUGACUAUGACCAGAGUACCACAACUCCAUUCAGUCCUAGAUACCAGACUGAGAGUGAACCAAACCCCCAACCCCAGAUCACACUUCAAAUGGAAAGAAAGAAUGAUUGCCAAAGAAUAUCAGUAAGAUCAGACUAUGAGGUGACACAUUUCAUGGACCAAGAUCAAUGGGCAACACCUUCACAGGGUGUAAGAAACCCUCAGAACAGAACUGUCUCUGGUCCUGAACAUCAGACCAUAUCUCUAUCCAGCAAUGACCACCAGGCUGAGGAUAUAGCAGUAGACUCUAAUACCCAGGUCAUAUUCCAACAAGAACUAGAUAAAAGGGAAACAUAUUGGAUGAAAGAUCAAAAGUCUUCACAACCAUCCAGUGUAGACCACCAGGUCCAGGAGAUCCCAGGAGAUCCCAGAGACCCACAAACAUUCCAACAAGAACUAGAAAAGUGGAAAAUACAAGACCCUAAGUUGACACCUUCAUCCAGCAAUGGUCACCAGGCUGAGACUAUACCAGCAGACCAUAAAACCCAGGUCAUAUUUCAUCAAGAACUAGAUGAGUGGGAAACAAUUUGGAAAAAAGGACAAAACAAUCAGUCCACAUCUCCACCAAACAAUGACCCACAAAUUCAGAAUAUGCCAGAAGAUGCCAGAGUACAUAUUAUACUCAAGGGAGAACCAUGUGAUCAGGAUAAAUUUUAUAAAAGACUAGACCACCAACCCAUACUUUCACCUGGAAAUGACCAUCAAAUUCAGCAUAUUCCAGCAGAUCACAAUGCACAGGUAAUAUUCCAUCAAGAAGAGGAUAAACAUGAAACAUUUUGGACACAAGGACAAAACCAUCAAUCCACAUCUCCACUAAGCAAUGACUACCAAGCCCAGGCUACUCCAGAAGACCCUAGUGCACAUAUUACACUCAAACAAGAACCAGAGAAUUUGGACACAUUUUGGACAAAAGGACUAGAUCAGCAGCCUACGUCUUCACCUGGCAAUAAACGGGAGGCUAAAGAUAAACCAGACUUCAAUUCUAAGACUACACUUCAACAAAAAAUAGAAGAAUGGAAAACACUUUGGCCAGGAGAACCAGACAAGCAGGGCACAAUUCUAACAAACGAGGGUUAUUUGGCAACUUCCACAUUAGACCUAAAAUACCAAGAUGAAACUUCACCUGAAACUAACCACAUCUCCACAUCUCCACCCAACUGUGGUGAACAGGCUUCAGAUGUAGCAGAAUUUAGCAUCCAGGCCACACUCCAACAAAAAAUAAGCAAAAGGGAAACAUUUUGGCCAACAGAACCAGACAAACAGGCCACAACUGUAACAGACCAGGAUUACUGGGCCACAUCCCCAUGGGACAUAAAACAUCAAGGCAGAAUUUCACCUGACCUUCAUCAUGGAGUGACACCUCUAAUCACACAUGAAGAUCAGGAUUCAGAUGUACCAGACCUCAGUCCCCAGGUCACACUCCAACAAGACCUAGACAAAAGGGAAAUAUUUUGGCCCAUAGAACUAGAUAAGCAGGCCACAAUUCUCAAAGACAAGGAAUUCUGGGCCACAUCCCCAUGGGACAUAAAACAGCAAGACAGAACUUCACCUGACCUUCAUCAUGGGGACACACCUCUACCUAUAAAUAAAGAUCAGAAUUCAGAUGUAUCAGACCUCAGUGCCCGAGUCACACUCCAGCAAGAACUAGGCAAAAGGGAAACUUUUUGGCAAACAGAACUAGAUAAGCAGGCCACAAUUCUCAAAGACCAGGAUUACUGGAUCACAACCCUAUGGAACAUAAAACACCAAGACAGAACUUCACCUGACCUUAACCAUGUGUCAACAUCUCUACCCACACUUGAAGAUGAGGAUUCAGAUGUAUCAGACCUCAGUGACCAGGUGGUCACACUACAACAAGAACUAGGCAAAAGGGAAACAUUUUGGCAAACAGAACUAGACAAGCAGGUCACAACUCUUAAAGGCCAGGAUUACUGGGUCACAACCCUAUGGGACAUAAAAGACAAAGAUAGAACUUCACCUGACCUUCACCAUGGGGCUACAUCUCUACCCAUACAUGAAGAUCAGGAUUCAGACGUAUCAGACCUCAGUGACCAGGUCACACUACAACAAGAACUGGGUAAAAGGGGAACAUUUUGGCCAAUAGAACCAAACAAACAGGCCACAACUCUCAAAGACCAGAAUUACUGGGUCACAGCCCUAUGGGACAUAAAAGACAAAGACAGGACUUCACCUGACCUUCCCUUUAGGGCCACACCUCUAUCCAGACACAAGGACCAGGAUUCAGAUAUAUCAGACCUCAGUGCCCAGGUCACACUCCAACAAGAACUGAGCAAAAGGGAAACAUCUUAUCCAACAGAGAUAGAAAAGCAGGCCACAAUUCUAAAAGACAAAGUUUACUGGGCAACACCCACACUGGAUCUAAAACAUGAAGAAAGAACUUCACCUGACCUCCACCAUGGGGCUACAUCUUCACUCAGCUGUGAGGACCAGGAUUCAGGUGCAAUAGACCUCAGUGAGCAGGUCAUACUCCAACAAAAAUUAGGUAAAAAGAAAAUAUCUUGUCCAACAGAAUCAGACAAACAAGUUGCAAGUCUAACAGACCAGGAUUACUGGGCCACAUUCCCGUGGGACAUAAAACAUCAAGACAGAACUUCACUUGACCAUCACCAUGGAGCUACACCUCCACUCAGUCAUGAAGACCAGGAUUCAGAUGCAACAGACCUUAGUUCCCCAAUCAUACUCCAACAAGAACUAAGUAAAAAGGAAAUAUUUUGUCCUACAGAGUUAGACAAGCAGGUCACAAGCCUAACAGACCAGGAUUAUUGGACCACAUUCCCAUGGGACAUAAAACACCAAGACAGAACUUCACUUGGCCAUCACCAUGGAGCUACACCUCCACUCAGUCAUGAAGACCAGGAUUCAGAUGCAACAGACCCUAGUCCCCCAACCACACUCCAACAAGAACUAAGUAAAAAGGAAACAUCUUGUCCCACAGAACUAGACAAGCAAGUCACAAAUGUAACAGACAAGGAUUACUGGGCAACAUCUCCAUGGAAUAUAAAACAUCAAGACAGAAAAUCCCUUGACUUUCACCACAAGGCUAUAACUCUAUCCAGCCAUGGUGACAAAACUUCAAAUAUAUCUGACCUCAGUGCCCAUGCUAUACUCCAACAAGAACAAGGAAAAAGGGAGACAUUCUGGUCAACAGAACUAGACCAACAGGCCACAACUCUAACAGAUAAGGUUUACUGGACAACACCUACAUUGGAUCUAAAUCAUGAAGACAGAAUUUCACUUGACUUUCACCAUGAGGCCACUUAUCCACCCAGAAAUGAGGUCCAGGAUUCAGACUCAGAUGACCUCAGUGCCCAGGCCACACUCCAGCAAGAACUAGGCAAAAAGAAAACUUCUUGUCCUACAGAAGUAGACCAGCAGGCCAUAAAUCUAACAGAUGAGGUUUGCUGGAUAACAUUGCCAUGGGACAUAAAGCACCAAGACAGAACUUUCCCUGAUCCUUAUCAUGAAGUCACAUCUCCACCCAGACAUGAAGACCAGGAUUCAGAUGUGUCAGAACUCAGUACUCAAACCAUAAUUCAACCAGAACUAAAUGAAUGGAAAACAUUUUGGUCCAGAGAAGCAAACCGACAGGUUACAACUCUAAUAGACAAGGUUUACUGGGUAACACCCAUGUUGGAUCCAAAAUACCUGGACAGAACUUCACCUGAUCUUCAUCAUGAGAUCACACCUCCAUCCAGCUAUGAAGAACAGGAUUCAGAUUUCAUAUACCUCAGUGGCGAGGCCACACUCCAACAAGAACUAGGCAAAAGGAAAGCAUCUUCUCCUACAGAGCUAGACCAGCAGGCCAAAACUCUAAAAGAUGAGGUUUCCUGGGCAACAUUGUCAUGGGACAGAACUUCACCUGCCACGCCCCAUGAGCCUACAAGCCCAUCCAGCCAUGAAGAUGAUAGUUCAGCUAUAUCAGACCUCAGUGCUCAGUCCAUACUCCAAGAAGAAUUAGAUAAAUGGAAAACAUCUUGUCCCACAGAACUAGAUCAGCAGGCCAGAAUUCUAAAAGAUGAGGUUUCCUGGGCAACAUCCUCAUGGGGCAUAAAAUACCCAGGUAGAAAUUCACCUGAUAAUCACCUUGAGGCUACACCUUCAUCCAACCAUGAUUAUCAGGAUUCAGAUCUGUCAGACUUCAGUGCUCAGGAAACACUCCAAUUAGAUAUAAAUGAAUGGGAAAAACUUUGGCCAACAGAACUGGAUCAGGAGGGCACAACUCUACCAGACCAGGCUUCCUGGGAAAUCUCCCCAUGGGAUAUAAAACAGCAAGACAGAACUUCACCUGAUACUGACCAUACAACCUCAACAUCAUCUAGCCAUGAAAGGAAGGAUGGGGAUGUACCAGAUCUCAAUGCUGAGGCUAUACCCCAACCAAAACUAGACCAAUGGGAAAUAAUGCCAUCAAUACUAGAUCAAGAGUUAAGAGUUGAUCUCACAAUUCAACACUCCAGGACAAUACCUUCAGUGAGCAUAAUAGAGUCCCAGAAUGUGGUUCUAUCUGAUCCUGAGCACAAAAUCAUACCUCCAUCCAGCAAUGACUACCCAGUUGGGGAUAUAUCCAAGCCAAAUACCAAGAUUACACUCCAACAAGAUCAAGAUGACUGGGAUAUAUUUUGGACAAGACUAGACCAUCAGGACACAGCUUCACUCAACAAUGACUAUCAGAUCCAACAUGUCCCAGGCCCUAAAGCUGACAUAAUUCAAAAAGAACAAGAAGAUUUAGAUAUAUUUUGGACAAGAACAUUAGACUAUCGGGCCAUGACUCCAACAAACAAGGAUUACUGGACUGCAUUUCCUUUACUGAACAUAGAACAUCACAAUAUGAUACAACCUGAUCCUGACCACCAAGUAUCAUGUACAACCAGCCCUGACCAUCAAACUGAAGACACAACAGAUCCCAAUGUCCAGAGUAUAUUUCAAACAAAAAAAGAUUCAUGGGAAACAAUGCCACAGGAAAUAGAACGCAAGACCCUAAUUCUCACAACCCAUGAUCAGGAAGCAAUAUUUCUACUGGGCAAAAAUCACCAGGACACAAAUCUCCCUGGCUCUGACAAGCAAGAUUUCAUUCUAUCCAUCCAUGACACUGAGGAUACUGAUGUACCAGGCCCCAAUACUUUAGUUACAAUACAACCAGAAAAAGGACAAUGGGAAUUGAUGCCCCCUGAAACAGAUCACAUGGCAAUAAUAAGUUUCACAGUUCAUCAGCAGGAAGCAACACCUUCACUAUCUUUAAACCACAAGGACACAAAUCCAUCUAACUCUAUCCAUUGGGCAGCUACUUCACUGAUCAUUUAGUCUGUCAUUAGGCCAGCUUUUCUUAGUUAAAUUGAAUAGACCACUGGGAAACAAUGCCACCAGCCCAGGAUUUCAACAACACAAAACUAUAAGGCAACAACUAUACUGAGCAUUGACAUAAGAAUGCCAAACCUUGACUGACCCCCAAAAUCAUGACAUACUUCUACACAACUCUAAGGAUGCAAAAUCAAAUUCCAAUGCCAAGAUCAUAUUUCAAAGAAAACAAAGCACUGGCCAAGAACAGAUAAUCCGACCAUAGUCCUUAUAGAUCAGGUGUCUGAAACAAUAUUUCUCCUCAAUUUAGACCCCAAGAACACAGUUCUACCUGAACCAGACUCUAAUUCCACCAUGCCUGACCAUUAGACUAUGGAUGCAUCAGGCAGCAAUGCCCAAAUCUCAUUUCAUAUACAAAUCCACUUAAAAGCAGUUCAUAUACCUAUGAAGGUAUAACUCUUAUUAUCCAGGAUCAUGAAAAAACACAUUUAGUGGAUUUAGACAACCAGGUAAAAUUCCACCUUGACUUAGCCACUGAGUAUCAACUGCCCUAGAUAUUGGUUAAAAGACAGUGAAAGUCCAAUCAAUGCCUAAGGGGUCUAGGUUCCACCAUAAUUAGGCCACUAAGAAACUAUACUACUGGCAACAGACAUUCCCACUUCCCAAUUCCCUUGUGCAUUGACCCUGAGGAUACAAGUCUCCCUAAUUCCAGCUGUCAGAUUACAAUUCCCAAGUAGUCCCAACCAAAAGUCAAAAGCUAUUCCAUACUCCCAAACUAAUACCUCCCUCCCUCAGCAAAAAAGUCAGUGACUACAGAUCAAGAGGUCAUACCUCUGUUUAGUCCUGAUCUUCCAGUCACUCUUCUACUCAGUCCUGAAAAUCAGACUCCAUCACUUGGACACAGUUCCAACAGAUAUGAAUGAUCAGGAAACAGUUCUACCAAGACCAGAGUAUAGUAAGUAUAACACUUUCAUCAAGUCCCAGCUGUCAGCCUGAGCAUAAAAUUAAUUCUGAGCAUAAAAGGAGAUCUGACAAUCAAUCUGAGCUCUAACAUUAGAUCCAGAUAAAAUUAUACAAACUCGAUGGCAUUUAAAUUACAUCAAAACAUACAUCACUGAAAGAGAGUCAGUCUCUGCUACAACUGUUCAUGCCAUCUAUCAACAAUCAGGAGAAAAUUGAUGAUGACAUCUCUAUGCAGAUUCUCCUGCUAAGAAUGAGGUAAACCUCUGCUCUACCACCUGAUAAACAUACUGCACAUGAUUAUAUGGUCUGCUUAAUUUGUGCCUCCUGUAUCCUAAAUAGUAGUUCCCAUAUUCAGGGAACAAAUUAUUCUUAUGAGGCAAAAUUGCUAACCAUACCAAAACAUCUGCCUGGCUCUGAAGAGGAGAUGGGUGUGAAAAUUUGUCCUUCAAGUACUGCGCUCAACACUUUUCUUCUUUUUUAAUCUUCAAGCCACCCAUUGUGGUUUGUCCAGGCCUUUAUAUUAUUCACCAGUUUCUAACUCCUUCCCACUCAGGCUCUAUACUCACUAUACCUGCAAGGGCAAAAUGGCUUCAAUUUAUACUUAAUUAUUUCCAGGCAUUGAGGGCCACAUCUAGAAGUCAACAGCCAUUUGCAGGGUAAAUAGCCAUGAAGAGCAAGAGCAAUAGAGAAGAGGGGGCAAGGACAUAUUGGACAUUAAUCAGAUCCCUGCUAAAAGUAUUUCAAAGGUGACCAAGGAGAAAUUAAAUUAAAUAAACAUCAAUUUUAAAAGGAAA
Molecule: long non-coding RNA, 8841 nt
Filed under: Sarcophilus harrisii (Tasmanian devil)
Lineage: Eukaryota; Metazoa; Chordata; Mammalia; Dasyuromorphia; Dasyuridae
Description: lncRNA (ENSSHAG00000030432.1)
Source: RNAcentral